This 591-nucleotide ribosomal RNA is filed under the name uncultured Trichoderma. RNAcentral's name for it is "eukaryotic LSU rRNA". The stretch from base 230 to 383 matches the Rfam family "5.8S ribosomal RNA". Lineage: Eukaryota; Fungi; Ascomycota; Sordariomycetes; Hypocreales; Hypocreaceae. The record is from RNAcentral.
UCUCCGUUGGUGAACCAGCGGAGGGAUCAUUACCGAGUUUACAACUCCCAAACCCAAUGUGAACGUUACCAAACUGUUGCCUCGGCGGGAUCUCUGCCCCGGGUGCGUCGCAGCCCCGGACCAAGGCGCCCGCCGGAGGACCAACCAAAACUCUUUUGUAUACCCCCUCGCGGGUUUUUAUAUCUGAGCCAUCUCGGCGCCUCUCGUAGGCGUUUCGAAAAUGAAUCAAAACUUUCAACAACGGAUCUCUUGGUUCUGGCAUCGAUGAAGAACGCAGCGAAAUGCGAUAAGUAAUGUGAAUUGCAGAAUUCAGUGAAUCAUCGAAUCUUUGAACGCACAUUGCGCCCGCCAGUAUUCUGGCGGGCAUGCCUGUCCGAGCGUCAUUUCAACCCUCGAACCCCUCCGGGGGGUCGGCGUUGGGGAUCGGCCCUUUACGGGGCCGGCCCCGAAAUACAGUGGCGGUCUCGCCGCAGCCUCUCCUGCGCAGUAGUUUGCACACUCGCAUCGGGAGCGCGGCGCGUCCACAGCCGUUAAACACCCAACUUCUGAAAUGUUGACCUCGGAUCAGGUAGGAAUACCCGCUGAACUUAA